Molecule: transfer RNA, 83 nt
Filed under: Canis lupus familiaris (dog)
Lineage: Eukaryota; Metazoa; Chordata; Mammalia; Carnivora; Canidae
Also listed under: 1 other name
Rfam family: tRNA
About the family: Transfer RNA (tRNA) molecules are approximately 80 nucleotides in length.
Source: Rfam by way of RNAcentral
GCCUGGGUAGCUCAGCGGUUGAGUGUCUGGUUUUGGCUCAGGGCAUGAUCCUGGAGUCCCGGGAUUGAAUCCUGAUUCAGGCU